UCUAUAUACAUUCAGAUACAUUAUUUUCAAAGCCAAGGUUUUAAAAAAAUAGGUGUCUAAAUUCAGACACCUAAGUCUAUCUUUACAGUCUUUGGUUGCCUGAUUUUCAAACAUGUUAAUACUCAGAAACACUUUAUUUUCUGUUGAGUUGUCUCUUUUUGACAAAAAUUUACAUUGGGCCGGUUUUCAUCUAUUAGAAUCAGAAAAGGAAAAUUAAUGAUUUUAAAUUUUCAAAGCAUUUAAAGGCAUAAAGAAAAACUCCUAAAACUACGCAUCUUUUUGCAUAUUUAAUUGCAGAAAAUUAUGUGCAUUGGUACAAGGCACGUGAGUACAACCUAGCAGAUUCGUCCUUUCUCACUGAAUUUGACCUAAACCCCUUUUUUGCAGCAUUUGUCUUUUCUUCUUUAGGUUCACACCAAGGCCUCCCGUUUGAAAAAUGUAUGUGUGCUCCUGCACCUAAUGUAUAUGCAUAUUCAGUGUGACUGCAUAUGGAAAUGGAGCAUCCAUGCCAAGAGUUUUCCAGCCAAGAGGCUUUUUGCAUGUCGCCAGGUCUGCCUUAGAAAGGCACCGGAAGAAAGGAAGGAAAAUGAGGUUAUCCCAAAAAAUAAUCUACUACUAUUUGGUAAAGGUACAGGAAUAGAGAAUGAAGCAAUGUUUUAAUACUGGGAGUGGAAGCUGCAUGAAGUAAUCACCUGAACAUUUACUUCAUUCAUUAGUGCAAAGCAAAUGCUGAGUUGUGCAGAAGUCAAUGAAAAAUUUCCAUGGUUUUGCUGCAGGCUUUGCUGAAUGGCGCCACUUGUCCACAGAAGUGCUCUGGACCUCAAGCUCAGAGCCUCAGUGGUGCAGCUGGAGCUCUGCUUGUGGAAUCCAGCAAGGUCUGUCUGGGCGCUCCGCGGAGCAGCGCUCCCUCCGGAGCUGGAGGCAGAUGGUCGCUAGGGAGCCCCGUGCCAGGUCUGGGUGACAGGAGCGGAAAGGCAGGGACAGCCACAGCCGGAUGA
RNAcentral lists this long non-coding RNA (998 nucleotides) under Zonotrichia albicollis (white-throated sparrow). RNAcentral describes it as "lncRNA (ENSZALG00000013543.1)". Lineage: Eukaryota; Metazoa; Chordata; Aves; Passeriformes; Passerellidae. The record is from RNAcentral.